RNAcentral lists this long non-coding RNA (2217 nucleotides) under Equus caballus (horse). RNAcentral describes it as "lncRNA (ENSECAG00000050764.1)". The record is from RNAcentral. Lineage: Eukaryota; Metazoa; Chordata; Mammalia; Perissodactyla; Equidae.
GUCAGAAUGGUAGCCUUACACUCUCUUUCCCUGUUUACCUGGCACAGCCGCAGCUCCCAGGUCCCUGGGCUGGCAGUGUCCUCCCCUGAGUACCACACUGCAGACCAGCCAGCUCUGAGUCAGGACAGGAGGCACAGCCCAGGGUCACUGCUGUGACAUGAGAGCCUUCGCCUGCUCCUCCAGCUCCUGGCUCCAGGACCCAUGGCUGGGGCUGAACAAGAAACACUCACCCCCCUGCCCAAGCCGGACCAGGCUGUGUCACUCCCAAGCUGUGGACGCCAGGGCCAGCAUGGCAUGGGGAUGGUCGUGCUCCUUGCUGCACCUGUGCUCAGAAAUGGGUUCCUUGGUUGCAGGGGCUGGGCAGGCUUCCCUGAACAGGUCUAGCGGUUCACUGGGCCCAUGACACAUGCAAAUCCAGAAGAGCGUCUAUUCCUGGUGAGGAAAACUGCUGCUCAUGCCAUGGUGGAGGGGCCCAAAGUAAUCAACCUGCCACUGCACGGCUGCUUGGUUCCCGUGAGGCACAGUACCACGGCCGGGAUGUGAGACAGAUGCACUCAGCCUCGGGAACCCUGCAAAAUCAGACAGGAAACACCCAUGCGAGUGGUCCCGCUAACUCUGAACUUGGGGCAGCAUGUGAUGGAGAGCACCUGAGAACUCAAGCUAAGCGAAAGAAAGGGGCAAAGGAUGUUGUCAGGGGGACGUUGAACUUAAGAAAACAAAUGAGUGCCUCGCUGUGCGUCGUGCGCCUUCCUAGCCCUUCUCUGGGCUCCGAGUGGCUUGCUCUUGGUCGGCUCAGCAGCGAAGCGGUGAUUACGACAGUUCUUUGGACGCUCUUCAGGGAUGGCCUCUGCUUCCUGUUUGGGGAAUCCCAGCCGUCGGGAUUCAAGUGGGCUCCGAACUUCAAAAUUGAUGCCUGGAGAGCUCUGGCGACAGACUUGAUCCCCUCCAUAGGGCACCAGACACAGACGGGGGGUUUGGAAGCUGCCCUGUCCUCUUUCUGCCUCAGCUGGGCUCCUGCAACACUCCUGAGGGUGCGGGGUGAGGACCCGAGGCCCUGCAGAGGGGAGGUCAAGCUUGCAGAACACUGAGUCAGGAGUCUGAACAGGCGAGUCCCUGCCCCUCCCCGACUGUCAGGUUUACAGCCUGAUGAUUCUCGUGUCCCGCAGCUGCCGCUCCCUGUCCCGGCCUGGCUGGCCAGGUGUGACGAAUCCGCCCUGCCUUGAGACACCGACCUGGCUCGUUGGUACCACUAGAGCUAGUCUGGGCUCCUGGCAAAAGUUGGGGACCCAUUUCACAGACAAGCACUCUGAGGCCUGAGAUGGGGCGCCCCAGGCCACAGACCGACCGCCGCCGCAGACCCACCGCCGCCUCACCCUGCAGGCCUCCCUUCCACCUGGCCUUCUCUCUGAGGGAGGCCAAGUCGCUCCACCCUCUUGGUGCUCCUCGUGGUGGGCCUCUGGCCCUGGGAGGGCACUGAGUGGGGGCGUGGGCUUUAAUGACCCCCCAGCCUGGUUGUCUAGGGGAGCUCAUCCACCCAGCAGCCCAUAUCUGAGCUAGCGGCCUGAGGCAGGUGUCCGGGGAAGGGGGCAGAAGGCUUGAAUUUUAGAGGAGAAACGGCUUUGGAGGGGUGCUGGCUUGUCCCUGCGGCCCCUGGGGAAUGGGACGAGGUGACAGCAGGGGGCAGCGGGAAUGGAGCAUGGAGGUCGAGACCCCUGGGUUCCUGGUGGGAGGAAAGGGAGCCUUUCAGAGUCACUCUCCUUGGUGCCUCCUCUGUCCACUUCCUCAGUGGGCACCCAGGGGCCCUGGAGGUGGGUCCCUCCUCACCUGGCACAGCCUCGUGCAGCUGCACAGACUCAGGAGGCUGCCAGGGGCCCGACCGACCACCUGCCUUUGGCCAGCUGAGUGCCCAGGUGACCCCUUGCUGGCUGGGCGGCAGAGCCGACCUCUCCCCCGUCCCUGCCCAGCCCCCUGGCCACCUCACCCAGGCCAGGGCACGAACAAUUAAAGCCUCUUGUCCCCAAUUGGUUUGUGGUAUUAAAAACAAAUUGCGAUGGGCCAGGUUGUCAUUUCUCCCUGAUAAAACAUCACUUUUAUUGAUCUCGCUCCCCCAGUGCCAUCAUCCAUCUUGCUUCAGUGUUUCACAUCAUGGCUCGUUUGUCUUGAUCAAAGCACAGUCCCGCAUGUUUAACCCUUGGGGCUCUGCAGCCUCACGUGCCC